Molecule: ribosomal RNA, 468 nt
Filed under: uncultured bacterium
Lineage: Bacteria
Description: partial 16S ribosomal RNA
Rfam family: Bacterial small subunit ribosomal RNA
Source: RNAcentral
GACGAACGCUGGCGGCGUGCUUAACACAUGCAAGUCGAACGGAAAGGCACUGCUUUUGUGGGGUGCUCGAGUGGCGAACGGGUGAGUAACACGUGAGUAACCUGCCCUUGACUUUGGGAUAACUUCAGGAAACUGGGGCUAAUACCGGAUAGGAGCUCCUGCUGCAUGGAGGGGGGUGGAAAGUUUCGGCGGUUGGGGAUGGACUAGCGGCUUAUCAGCUUGUUGGUGGGGGAGGGGCUUACCAAGGCUUUGACGGGUAGCCGGCCUGAGAGGGUGACCGGCCUCCUGGGUACUGAGAUACGGCCCAGUCUCCAACGGGAGGCAGCAGUGGGGAAUAUUGCACAAUGGGCGGAAGCCUGAUGCAGCAACGCCGCGUGCGGGAUGACGGCCUUCGGGUUGUAAACCGCUUUCGCCUGUGACGAAGCGUGAGUGACGGUAAUGGGUAAAGAAGCACCGGCUAACUACGUG